CUUCAUCAACCGGUUUGGAUGAAGUAGCCUCAGCAGAGGAUAAUGGAAUAGGAGUUGUUGAUGCCAAAACCUUUGAAGGAGAGGCUGAGCUUUUUUGAGAAGUCCAAAAGAUCAUCAGCAUAUAGAAAAGUUUCAAAUGUAGAAAAGUAUACUUGUAAGUAGACCAAUUUAAUUACCUUCCUCCUGACGAUAAGAGGGGCAUCAUCGUCAUCAUCAACAUCAUCCUCCAAAAUGGGAGAUGCUGAGGCUGGCCGUUUGCGGCUUGUGGCACUCUUGGCCGUAGUAGGCUUGGCAGGGAGAGAAGAAGAUGGACGAGCAAAAUGUUUAGUGCGACGAGAAGGAGAAGGACUCCGAAUGGACAAGGGAGUGACUAAAACAGGAGGAGGCGAAGAAAUGCUCGGUUGGUCUAAUAAAUGAAAGGCACGAUUGGCGUCAGUCGCAAAUAAUUUGCGCUUCACUGACGGCCAGAGCUGCUCAAAAAGAGGGUGAGUGGCAUGACAAGAAUUAAAAGGGGCUAAUGAAAAGUGGCUUGAUAAAUGGAGGUUGCAAGCGUUUAUAGCCUCUACUUCCGCCUUAUUAAUGGUAUGAAAAUGGUCAAUUAAGUUCUUCGAAUAGCAAAGAGGAACAGGCCAAGUUUGGCCAAAACCAAGCUGACGAGCAAAAAAUUGGGGAGCAUAAAUUUCUACCCCCGCUUUGGCAUUGGUCCCAGUUAAGAUAUCAUGAAAAAGCUCCCUCCCGGUUAAAAACUGGAUCCAAAUGAGCAGGGAGGUGCUCGCGCUAUCUAUAGUGGAAGGGGGAUGUACAUAGUUCGGAGUCAAAAAAGAAGGAAAAGGAAAAAAGGAAGAGAUUGAAUCCAAAGAAUAAAAGAACGAAAAAAUGUCCCCUCUGGACAUAUUUACAGGAGCUAAGGGCUCAAUGGCUAGCCCAUAGCAGCUGGCAGAAGAACGAGAAAUUGAAGGAGCACCAAGCGAUGGGAAAUAGGAUCUCAACCACAGUUGAGUGAACCAAAGGGGUCCACUGCCAGUGGGAGAUGCACUAUUCUUCAAUUGAGCUUGAAGAGAGGCCAUGCCCCUAUAAAGAGCAGCCAAAAACAAAGAACACAAAUUCAAAGGCCUGCUACGCGCAAAUUCGUACGCUAUAGGUAAAUAACUCAAGCAGGGCUUUAUGCUUGGCACGCACAAAAUAUAUUUACAAAGCCAAACUAAAAGGAAGGCCACUCGCUCAGUAUGGGAAGGCUCAGCACUCGAAUGACUAUGGAGGGUCUGCAAGCUUGAAUAAGAAUCAGUGUAGUUUUUACCAAACUUUGGGGCGCCACCAGAAACUAAGAUACCUGGAAAAAUGGUAUCGUCCAAAGGUGGUAGAUUCACCAGGGCCCCAACAUCCCUUAGAGUAAUAGACAUAGGGCCGAGAGGGAAAAUAAAGGUAUUAUACUCGAAAGACCAAAAGCUCAAAGCAAUCGAAAAAAGUUCAGAAUCAAAAGUAGGAUGGCGAAUAGAGAUUUCUAACAAAUCAGAAAUCCUAGCGCUAUCAAAAAGUGCCUUAGUAGGACCAUGACCCACAAGGCGAGCAUGCCACCUACGAAAAGCUACAUCAGAUUUAGGCCAAGUGCGAAUACCUCUUUCGCGAAGUGGCCCCAACGGCAGAGAGUUUAGAAAAGGAGGGCCAUGAGUGCAAGGAAACAGCUGACCCACCGCCGCUUGUUCAACUGCCUCUGUAUUGUUGAAGAAAGGACCUAAGUAGAACUCAUUAUGUCCAACGUCGACGGGUGCGAGAAAACUCGGAGUUACAUAUGGACGACUCAGGAGUUUCUGAAAGUCAUCGAAACUAAAAGAGUCGCCAGCUUGAGAUUGUGAAGUAGCCAUUUGAGAUGGAAUGAAGUUUUGCAGGGUUAUGUAGCAGGGAAGUAAAAGAUGAACAGUAAAUCUUGAGAGAGACGAGAAAAAAUUUGAGGCGUGAUUUAGUGGUGCAGUAAAAUGGCGUGUUUGAGGGUUAUAAGGGUUUGCAAAACGACACACCUUUUCAAGUUAUAGAAGGAAACAAUGAUUCAAAUUUUUGGGAAUUUCGAAUGUUGCUGGAAACACAAAGUGAAUAUGACAAAAUUUAAUAAUUAUUAUUAAUUCUGCCAUAUUGGGGGGUAAUUGUUAACACAUAAAAAUGCAGCCCAAAUCGAACAGCCCAAGGAGUGAAGCCCAAUUGGAGAAUCCUCAAAUCAGAUAGUCCAAAUAACGAAGCCCAAUCAAACAAAUCAAGAUGAAGGCCCAAAUAAGGAGGCCCAAGAACGCGGUAACGCCAUCGCCCAAGUUUGCAAAUCACCCAGAAUUUGAGCGAAUGGAAUGUCAUACAGUCGCCCAGAGCUGUUACUCUAUUCUCGCCCAAACCUUCAAGUCGCCUAAAGUCUUAACAAACAUAAAGCGUCGCGGUUAUCAAGAAGUGCAGUUAUCAAAGCAGUUAUUAAAGCAGCCAUAUCACGUUCCACGAUUCAAGGAAUUCAAUCAAAAGCGGUUGAACGAUGAAGAGUAAUGGUAGCAGUUAAAGGAGGCAGUUUUCGUGACAAGUUGACCAUUACGAAAAAAGUGGGCAGUUAUAGGACGAUCAAACAGUUUUUAGGGCAGUUGAUCAUAAAGAGAUCGUCCAUGAAGUAUAAAAGGAAAAAAGGACAUAAAAGCAAAGGACCG
This 2675-nucleotide long non-coding RNA is filed under the name Olea europaea subsp. europaea. The record is from RNAcentral. Lineage: Eukaryota; Viridiplantae; Streptophyta; Magnoliopsida; Lamiales; Oleaceae.